This 275-nucleotide long non-coding RNA is filed under the name Jatropha curcas. RNAcentral describes it as "long non-coding RNA (JCUR_LNC001451)". The record is from RNAcentral. Lineage: Eukaryota; Viridiplantae; Streptophyta; Magnoliopsida; Malpighiales; Euphorbiaceae.
GAGGUUAUUAUAAUUUGUAGAUUUAUUUGGUGAACGUUGACAUACUUGUACUGAAAGGAGGAUGAGACUUAAAUUGUUGAUUGCCCGACGGAUGGGCUGUGUGCAUUGAUUGAUAAAUAUAUAUAAUAUUGUGAUAUUUGAGCAGGUUGAUAGUCCAAUUUUUAGGGGAGGUGCUGCCGAAAUUUUGAUAGAAAUUAGACUAAAUUUUAAUUAACAACAUAAUUAAUAAGUUUAUUUAGGUUAGUUCUAUAAUUUGGUACAUAAUAAAUAUAGUG